CCAGACUCCUACGGGAGGCAGCAGUGGGGGAUAUUGCACAAUGGGGGGAACCCUGAUGCAGCGACGCCGCGUGGGUGAAGGAGCGUUUCGGCGCGUAAAGCCCUAUCGGCAGGGAAGAAGGAGGACGGUACCUGACUAAGAAGCCCCGGCUAACUACGUGCCAGCAGCCGCGGUAAUACGUAGGGGGCAAGCGUUAUCCGGAUUCACUGGGUGUAAAGGGAGCGUAGACGGCGACGCAAGUCUGGAGUGAAAGCCCGGGGCCCAACCCCGGGACUGCUCUGGAAACUGCGUCGCUGGAGUGCGGGAGGGGCAGGCGGAAUUCCUGGUGUAGCGGUGAAAUGCGUAGAUAUCAGGAGGAACACCGGCGGCGAAGGCGGCCUGCUGGACCGUGACUGACGUUGAGGCUCGAGAGCGUGGGGAGCAAACAGGAUUAGAUACCCCUGUA
Molecule: ribosomal RNA, 445 nt
Filed under: uncultured bacterium
Lineage: Bacteria
Description: bacterial SSU rRNA
Rfam family: Bacterial small subunit ribosomal RNA
Source: RNAcentral